This 497-nucleotide ribosomal RNA is filed under the name uncultured bacterium. RNAcentral describes it as "partial 16S ribosomal RNA". It matches the Rfam family "Bacterial small subunit ribosomal RNA", at positions 28 to 507 of the family's 1533-position model. The record is from RNAcentral.
GACGAACGCUGGCGGCGUGCCUAAUACAUGCAAGUAGAACGCUGAAGCGAGGAGCUUGCUCUUCUUGGCUGAGUUGCGAACGGGUGAGUAACGCGUAGGUAACCUGCCUGGUAGCGGGGGAUAACUAUUGGAAACGAUAGCUAAUACCGCAUAAAAUUGAUUAUUGCAUGAUAAUUAAUUGAAAGAUGCAACUGCAUCACUACCAGAUGGACCUGCGUUGUAUUAGCUAGUUGGUGAGGUAACGGCUCACCAAGGCGACGAUACAUAGCCGACCUGAGAGGGUGGUCAGCCACACUGGGACUGAGACACGGCCCAGACUCCUACGGGAGGCAGCAGGAGGGAAUCUUCGGCAAUGGGGGGAACCCUGACCGAGCAACGCCGCGUGAGUGAAGAAGGUUUUCGGAUCGUAAAGCUCGGUUGUAAGAGAAGAACGGGUGUGAGAGUGGAAAGUUCACACUGUGACGGUAUCCUACCAGAAAGGGACGGCUAACUACGUG